RNAcentral lists this ribosomal RNA (676 nucleotides) under uncultured Bacteroidales bacterium. RNAcentral's name for it is "bacterial SSU rRNA". It matches the Rfam family "Bacterial small subunit ribosomal RNA", at positions 68 to 731 of the family's 1533-position model. Lineage: Bacteria; Pseudomonadati; Bacteroidota; Bacteroidia; Bacteroidales. The record is from RNAcentral.
GGCAGCAUGGUCUUAGCUUGCUAAGGCUGAUGGCGACCGGCGCACGGGUGAGUAACACGUAUCCAACCUGCCGUCUACUCUUGGCCAGCCUUCUGAAAGGAAGAUUAAUCCAGGAUGGCAUCAUGAGUUCACAUGUCCGCAUGAUUAAAGGUAUUUUCCGGUAGACGAUGGGGAUGCGUUCCAUUAGAUAGUAGGCGGGGUAACGGCCCACCUAGUCAACGAUGGAUAGGGGUUCUGAGAGGAAGGUCCCCCACAUUGGAACUGAGACACGGUCCAAACUCCUACGGGAGGCAGCAGUGAGGAAUAUUGGUCAAUGGGCGAUGGCCUGAACCAGCCAAGUAGCGUGAAGGAUGACUGCCCUAUGGGUUGUAAACUUCUUUUAUAAAGGAAUAAAGUCGGGUAUGCAUACCCGUUUGCAUGUACUUUAUGAAUAAGGAUCGGCUAACUCCGUGCCAGCAGCCGCGGUAAUACGGAGGAUCCGAGCGUUAUCCGGAUUUAUUGGGUUUAAAGGGAGCGUAGAUGGAUGUUUAAGUCAGUUGUGAAAGUUUGCGGCUCAACCGUAAAAUUGCAGUUGAUACUGGAUGUCUUGAGUGCAGUUGAGGCAGGCGGAAUUCGUGGUGUAGCGGUGAAAUGCUUAGAUAUCACGAAGAACUCCGAUUGCGAAGGCAGCCUGCUA